Molecule: ribosomal RNA, 253 nt
Filed under: uncultured bacterium
Lineage: Bacteria
Description: partial 16S ribosomal RNA
Rfam family: Bacterial small subunit ribosomal RNA
Source: RNAcentral
UACGUAGGGUGCGAGCGUUGUCCGGAAUUAUUGGGCGUAAAGAGCUUGUAGGCGGUUUGUCGCGUCUGCCGUGAAAAUCCGAGGCUCAACCUCGGACUUGCGGUGGGUACGGGCAGACUAGAGUGUGGUAGGGGAGACUGGAAUUCCUGGUGUAGCGGUGAAAUGCGCAGAUAUCAGGAGGAACACCGAUGGCGAAGGCGGCAUCCUGGACCGGCAUUGACGCUGAGGCGCGAAAGCUAGGGGAGCAAACGGG